RNAcentral lists this ribosomal RNA (253 nucleotides) under uncultured bacterium. Its description in RNAcentral is "partial 16S ribosomal RNA". It matches the Rfam family "Bacterial small subunit ribosomal RNA", at positions 524 to 776 of the family's 1533-position model. The record is from RNAcentral.
UACAGAGGGGGCAAGCGUUGUUCGGAAUUACUGGGCGUAAAGGGCGCGUAGGCGGCCUGUUAAGUCGAACGUGAAAUCCCCGGGCUCAACCCGGGAACUGCGUCCGAUACUGGCAGGCUUGAAUUCGGGAGAGGGAUGUGGAAUUCCAGGUGUAGCGGUGAAAUGCGCAGAUAUCAGGAGGAACACCGGUGGCGAAGGCGGUUCUCUGGGAAUAUCCUGACGCUGAGGAGCGAAAGUGUGGGGAGCGAACAGG